UGUGGAUACAUCAAUCUUCUAUAUAGAUUUUUUUUUUCUUUCUUUGCAUGACUAUUUUUUGGGGGAAUGAAAAAUUUAAAAGUAUACAAGUUUUAAUGAAUAUUUAGUUUUGAACAUGGGGCACCACUGUUGAAGAAGCAUACACAAAAACUUCCUCCUUGAUCUUGAUCAAUACACACUGAAUCAGCAUAAAAGGGUCCAUAAUCUCUCUUGCAAAGGUUUUGGCAAAUUGGCAAUUCUUGAGAACAAGGAAUGUCUGUUUUACCGUGUGAUGCACAUACGUACUGAGCAUUUGCUGAGCAAACCUGAGUUAUUACGACCAUGGCUGUAAAUCAAACAGUAUAUAUAUAUCAGUGGCAUGAAAACAGUAUCUUGUAAUUCAUAUGUAAAAGAUGUAAAAGUUAUUUUAAAUGAUGUAUGUAUGUCUAAGAAGAUCUAUAGGUCGUAGGUUCAAGCCAUGAAAGCAAUCACUCAUGUUUGCAUUAGGCUAGACUGUCUACAUCACACCCUUGAGGUGCGGCUCUUUCAUGGACCUUACGUAAAUACAAAAUGCUUUGUACACCCAAUUGCCUAUAUAUAUAUAUAUAUAUAUAUAUAUAUAUCCGAAAAAAUCACUUGACUUUUUUUCCCUAAUUGUUGUUGGAUGUUUGAACCCUAAUCUGUUACUAUUAUCAUCUCACUUAAUCGAUAGAAACAGCGUCUGGAAUUAAAGUUUAUGAAUUCUGAAUUUGCUGCCGAACCUAUAGCUCGUUUUAGUAACAUAGUUCGUAAUUAAAUACUUAUACACAUUUGAUAGAGUUUCUAUUACAAUUACAUAAUUUAAUCAAUAAUUGUUAGGUUCGUUCAAAUCUGUACUUAAUAAUAUGGUAGAUUAAAAAGAACAGAUAUUCAUCUUGGGAAUGCAUAGAGGGAGUGUGACUACUCAUGUUCUUACUUUUUAUUUAAUUUUUUUAAUCAUAACAAGAAAAAAUGAAAGAGAAACAUACCACAAAUGUAAGCAAUGAGGAAAAUGGAACAGCGAAAAGAUAGGCCAAAGUUUUC
This 1041-nucleotide long non-coding RNA is filed under the name Nicotiana benthamiana. RNAcentral describes it as "long non-coding RNA (NBEN_LNC020454)". The record is from RNAcentral. Lineage: Eukaryota; Viridiplantae; Streptophyta; Magnoliopsida; Solanales; Solanaceae.